GGUAGUGUAGUUAACACCUGCAUUAUUUGACGUUACCUACACGAAGAAGCACCGGCUAACUCCGUGCCAGCAGCCGCGGUAAUACGGAGGGUGCGAGCGUUAAUCGGAAUUACUGGGCGUAAAGCGCAUGCAGGCGGCCUGUUAAGUCAGAUGUGAAAGCCCGGGGCGUUAACCUCGGAAUUGCAUUUGAAACUGGCAGGCUAGAGUCUUGUAGAGGGGGGUAGGAAGUUUCAGGUGUAGCGGUGAAAUGCGUAGAGAUCUGAAGGAAUACCAGUGGCGAAGGCGGCCCCCUGGACAAAGACUGACGCUCAGAUGCGAAAGCGUGGGGAGCAAACAGGAUUAGAUACCCUGGUAG
RNAcentral lists this ribosomal RNA (355 nucleotides) under uncultured bacterium. RNAcentral describes it as "bacterial SSU rRNA". It matches the Rfam family "Bacterial small subunit ribosomal RNA", at positions 443 to 793 of the family's 1533-position model. The record is from RNAcentral.